AUGAAGAAGUUGAAGAUAAAUGGAGAAUGGAAGGCCAAGUGUAAUUGGUGUCAUAAGACACUUACCGCAGGAUCAAGGAAUGGUACUAAGCAUCUAAAGUUGCAUCUUCAGAGUUGCACUCUUAGGAAGUUGAAGACGAAGGAUGGUAAAACUUUGCAUCAAUCCUCAUUGAAGGUGAUGGCCGAGAAUGAUGGGACAGUGAGCAUGGAGAGCUACACUUUUAAUCAAGAGUACGCUAGAGCAGAGCUUGGCAACAUGUUGGUGUUGCAUGAUUAUCCUUUGUCUAUGGUGGACCAUGUUGGUUUUAGGAGAUUUGCUGCACUUCAGCCAUUGUUCAAGCUGCAUACUAGAAAUACUAUUAGGUAA
RNAcentral lists this ribosomal RNA (366 nucleotides) under Triticum aestivum (bread wheat). Its description in RNAcentral is "partial small subunit ribosomal RNA". The record is from RNAcentral. Lineage: Eukaryota; Viridiplantae; Streptophyta; Magnoliopsida; Poales; Poaceae.